RNAcentral lists this ribosomal RNA (253 nucleotides) under uncultured bacterium. RNAcentral's name for it is "partial 16S ribosomal RNA". It matches the Rfam family "Bacterial small subunit ribosomal RNA", at positions 524 to 776 of the family's 1533-position model. The record is from RNAcentral.
UACGUAGGGUGCGAGCGUUAAUCGGAAUUACUGGGCGUAAAGCGUGCGCAGGCGGUUUUGUAAGCCAGAUGUGAAAGCCCCGGGCUUAACCUGGGAAUGGCAUUUGGGACUGCAAGGCUUGAGUGCGGCAGAGGAGACUGGAAUUCCUGGUGUAGCAGUGAAAUGCGUAGAGAUGUGGAGGAAUACCGAUGGCGAAGGCAGCCCCCUGGGAUAACACUGACGCUCAUGCACGAAAGCGUGGGGAGCAAACAGG